GUCCUUUUGAAUUUAAUUUAAGGUCUAACCUGCCCACUGAAAUUUUUUGAAGGGCCGCAGUAAUUUGACUGUGCAAAGGUAGCAUAAUCAUUAGUUUUUUAAUUAAAAGCUUGUAUGAAAGGUUGGACGAGGUAAAUUCUGUCUCUAUUUAAUUUUAUUUAAAAUUUAAUUUUUAAGUUAAAAAGCUUAAAUUUAUUUAAAAGACGAGAAGACCCUAUAGAUCUUUAUAUUAAAAAUAUUAAUUUUAAUUAAGAAUAUUUAAUUUUUUAGUAUUUAUAAUAUUUUAUUGGGGUAAUAAAAAGAUUAAUAUAAUUCUUUUUUUAUUUUUACAUUUAUUUAUGAAUAUACGAUCCAAUUUUAUUGAUUAAAAGAUUAAGUUACCUUAGGGAUAACAGCGUAAUUUUUUUAGAGAGUUCAUAUCGAUAAAAAAGUUUGCGACCUCGAUGUUGGAUUAAAAAUUAUCUUAGGUGCAGAAGUUUAAGAUUUUGGUCUGUUCGACCAUUAAAUUUUUACAUGAUCUGAGUUCAGACCGGUGUAAGCCAGGUCGGUUUCUAUCUUUAAUAAAAUAUAAUAUUUUAGUACGAAAGGACCAAAUAUUUAAUAUAUUUAUAUUUAGUUAUUUUGAAUAU
This 629-nucleotide ribosomal RNA is filed under the name Agabus ragazzii. RNAcentral describes it as "partial 16S ribosomal RNA". It matches the Rfam family "Bacterial large subunit ribosomal RNA", at positions 1825 to 2733 of the family's 2925-position model. Lineage: Eukaryota; Metazoa; Arthropoda; Insecta; Coleoptera; Dytiscidae. The record is from RNAcentral.